GAUGAACGCUGGCGGCGUGCCUAAUACAUGCAAGUCGAACGGACGGACGAUAAGCUUGUUUCUCUGAUGUUAGCGGCGGACGGGUGUGUAACACGUGGAUAAUCUACUUAUAUUUCUGGGAUAAUUUCGGGAAUCCGGAUCUUAUACUGGAUGAUAUUUUGAACCGUAUGGUGCAAAAGUGAAUGACGGUCUUUCUGUCUCUUAUAGAUGGUUCCGCGCUGCAUUAUCUAGUUGGUAAGGUAACGGCCUAUCAAGGCAACGAUGCAUAGCCGACCUGAGAGGAUGAGCGGCCACACUGGAGCUGGGACACGGUCCAGACUCCUACGGGAGGAAGCAGUAGGGAAUAUUAGGCAAUAGGCGAAAGCCUGACGCAGCCACGCCGCGUGAGUGAUGAAGGUCUUCGGAUCGUAAAACUCUGUUAUUGGGGAAGAACAGAUGUGGAAGUAAAUGUGGCCAUAGUGACGGUACCUAAUAAAGAAGCAACGGCUAACUACGUG
Molecule: ribosomal RNA, 497 nt
Filed under: uncultured bacterium
Lineage: Bacteria
Description: partial 16S ribosomal RNA
Rfam family: Bacterial small subunit ribosomal RNA
Source: RNAcentral